GUCCCUAUAGCUCAGCGGAUUAGAGCGCUUCCCUCCGGAGGAAGAGGCCAGAGGUUCAAAUCCUCUUAGGGACG
RNAcentral lists this transfer RNA (74 nucleotides) under Candidatus Falkowbacteria bacterium CG_4_9_14_3_um_filter_38_19. Its description in RNAcentral is "tRNA-Arg". It matches the Rfam family "tRNA". Rfam says of the family: Transfer RNA (tRNA) molecules are approximately 80 nucleotides in length. Their secondary structure includes four short double-helical elements and three loops (D, anti-codon, and T loops). Lineage: Bacteria; Candidatus Falkowiibacteriota. RNAcentral also lists the same sequence under 1 other name. The record is from RNAcentral.